Molecule: ribosomal RNA, 696 nt
Filed under: uncultured bacterium
Lineage: Bacteria
Description: bacterial SSU rRNA
Rfam family: Bacterial small subunit ribosomal RNA
Source: RNAcentral
AACGCUAGCUACAGGCUUAACACAUGCAAGUCGAGGGGCAGCAUGGUCUUAGCUUGCUAAGGCUGAUGGCGACCGGCGCACGGGUGAGUAACACGUAUCCAACCUGCCGUCUACUCUUGGCCAGCCUUCUGAAAGGAAGAUUAAUCCAGGAUGGGAUCAUGAGUUCACAUGUCCGCAUGAUUAAAGGUAUUUUCCGGUAGACGAUGGGGAUGCGUUCCAUUAGAUAGUAGGCGGGGUAACGGCCCACCUAGUCAACGAUGGAUAGGGGUUCUGAGAGGAAGGUCCCCCACAUUGGAACUGAGACACGGUCCAAACUCCUACGGGAGGCAGCAGUGAGGAAUAUUGGUCAAUGGGCGAUGGCCUGAACCAGCCAAGUAGCGUGAAGGAUGACUGCCCUAUGGGUUGUAAACUUCUUUUAUAAAGGAAUAAAGUCGGGUAUGCAUACCCGUUUGCAUGUACUUUAUGAAUAAGGAUCGGCUAACUCCGUGCCAGCAGCCGCGGUAAUACGGAGGAUCCGAGCGUUAUCCGGAUUUAUUGGGUUUAAAGGGAGCGUAGGCCGGAGAUUAAGCGUGUUGUGAAAUGUAGAUGCUCAACAUCUGAACUGCAGCGCGAACUGGUUUCCUUGAGUACGCACAAAGUGGGCGGAAUUCGUGGUGUAGCGGUGAAAUGCUUAGAUAUCACGAAGAACUCCGAUUG